Molecule: ribosomal RNA, 431 nt
Filed under: uncultured bacterium
Lineage: Bacteria
Description: bacterial SSU rRNA
Rfam family: Bacterial small subunit ribosomal RNA
Source: RNAcentral
AACGCGAAGAACCUUACCAGGUCUUGACAUCCCGCUGACCGCUCUGGAGACAGAGCUUCCCUUCGGGGCAUCGGUGACAGGUGGUGCAUGGUUGUCGUCAGCUCGUGUCGUGAGAUGUUGGGUUAAGUCCCGCAACGAGCGCAACCCUUAUUACUAGUUGCCAGCAUUCAGUUGGGCACUCUAGUGAGACUGCCGUCGACAAGACGGAGGAAGGCGGGGAUGACGUCAAAUCAUCAUGCCCCUUAUGACCUGGGCUACACACGUGCUACAAUGGUUGGUACAACGGGAUGCUACCUCGCGAGAGGACGCCAAUCUCUUAAAACCAAUCUCAGUUCGGAUUGUAGGCUGCAACUCGCCUACAUGAAGUCGGAAUCGCUAGUAAUCGCGGAUCAGCAUGCCGCGGUGAAUACGUUCCCGGGUCUUGUACACAC